This 404-nucleotide ribosomal RNA is filed under the name uncultured bacterium. RNAcentral's name for it is "bacterial SSU rRNA". It matches the Rfam family "Bacterial small subunit ribosomal RNA", at positions 355 to 776 of the family's 1533-position model. The record is from RNAcentral.
UGGGGAAUAUUGCACAAUGGGGGAAACCCUGAUGCAGCAACGCCGCGUGAGUGAAGAAGUAUUUCGGUAUGUAAAGCUCUAUCAGCAGGGAAGAAAAUGACGGUACCUGAGUAAGAAGCCCCGGCUAACUACGUGCCAGCAGCCGCGGUAAUACGUAGGGGGCAAGCGUUAUCCGGAUUUACUGGGUGUAAAGGGAGCGUAGACGGCGAUGCAAGUCUGAAGUGAAAGCCCGGGGCUCAACCCCGGGACUGCUUUGGAAACUGUAUGGCUGGAGUGCUGGAGAGGCAAGCGGAAUUCCUAGUGUAGCGGUGAAAUGCGUAGAUAUUAGGAAGAACACCAGUGGCGAAGGCGGCUUGCUGGACAGUAACUGACGUUGAGGCUCGAAAGCGUGGGGAGCAAACAGG